UUUUAAUAGCUUAUAUUUAGAGCAUAAUAUUGAAGAUAUUAAGGAAGAAUUGUUCUUUAAAAUAUU
RNAcentral lists this transfer RNA (66 nucleotides) under Plateros sp. UPOL A00513. RNAcentral describes it as "tRNA-Phe". The record is from RNAcentral. Lineage: Eukaryota; Metazoa; Arthropoda; Insecta; Coleoptera; Lycidae.